CCUACGGGUGGCAGCAGUAGGGAAUCUUGCGCAAUGGGCGAAAGCCUGACGCAGCAACACCGCGUGAAUGUUAAGCCCUUCGCGGUGUAAAGUUCUGUCAAUUGGGACGAUUUUUGACUGUACCUAUAACUGAAGCACCGGCUAACUCCGUGCCAGCAGCCGUGGUAAUACGGGGGGUGCGAGCGUUGUCCGGAUUCAUUGGGCGUAAAGCGUUCGUAGACGGGAAGGUAAGUCUGAUGUUAAAGCCCGGGGCUCAACUGCGGUACGGCAUUGGAUACUAUCUAGCUAGAAUGUGGUAGAGGUAAAGGGAAUUCCUGGUGUAGCGGUGAAAUGCGUAGAUAUCAGGAGGAACAUCGAUGGCGAAAGCGCUUUACUGGACCAUUAUUGACGCUGAGGAACGAAAGCCAGGGGAGCAAAUGGGAUUAGAUACCCCGGUAGUC
This 440-nucleotide ribosomal RNA is filed under the name uncultured bacterium. RNAcentral describes it as "partial 16S ribosomal RNA". It matches the Rfam family "Bacterial small subunit ribosomal RNA", at positions 338 to 795 of the family's 1533-position model. The record is from RNAcentral.